UUUCCGUAGGUGAACCUGCGGAAGGAUCAUUAUCAAAAGUCAAGUCGGGGGCUGUAAAGCUCUCGUCUACACCCAUGUCUUUUGCGUACUCUUGUUUCCUCGGUGGCGCAAGCUGCCGAUUGGACAAACUUAUAACCUUUUUAAUUUUUCAAUCAGCGUCUGAAUAACUAUAAUAAUUACAACUUUCAACAACGGAUCUCUUGGUUCUG
RNAcentral lists this unclassified non-coding RNA (209 nucleotides) under root metagenome. RNAcentral's name for it is "partial contains small subunit ribosomal RNA, internal transcribed spacer 1, and 5.8S ribosomal RNA". The record is from RNAcentral.